UGAUGUAAAGACAAUCUGCCAGAGACAUCUGCCACACUACUGAUUGUCAGGGUUGAUUCUAGCUGAUCUAACUGAUCAGGCAGGUGAACCUUCUUCACUGACCACUUAAGAGAUAUGCCACCUGUAGCUGCAUGCCCUAAGAAGACAGCUCUACCUAACUGUGUGGCAUUCUCUUUGGCCGAAGGUAAAGAACUGUACUUCCUUACUUGAACUUACAUGCUCAAAAUAUCAGUUUCUCUAAGAACUAAACGUUGGCUGAUAUGUGUUGUCAAGGAAGAAAAAUGAGCAAAUUCAUGAAUUAAGGUUGUUUACCUUUCUGU
RNAcentral lists this small nuclear RNA (320 nucleotides) under Phascolarctos cinereus (koala). Its description in RNAcentral is "7SK RNA (ENSPCIG00000027018.2)". It matches the Rfam family "7SK RNA". From Rfam's summary of the family: 7SK was discovered as an abundant small nuclear RNA in the mid-70s but a possible function has only recently been suggested. Two independent studies have found that 7SK RNA binds the CDK9/cyclin T complex (known as elongation factor P-TEFb). P-TEFb activates transcription by phosphorylating the C-terminal domain of RNA polymerase II. The record is from Rfam by way of RNAcentral. Lineage: Eukaryota; Metazoa; Chordata; Mammalia; Diprotodontia; Phascolarctidae.